UAUGCUUCACUCUGUAUCAACAAUACAACUCGCCCCUCCACUGCAGAGUGGAGAGCCACACCCUGAAGGCAGCCGGGAUGAAGUCUUAUGCUCUCACCAUGGACCCAAUGCAAACUUGUGACCUAAGUGGGGGAGAGGCCAGGUCAUAAAGCAGCAGUCGCCCAGGAUGCCAGAGCAGUGGCCAUUGGCUUGAUCGUAGUGUGCUUUGCUAAUUAAUACAUGGUAACCAUUGAGGACACAUGGAUCAGCACCAGAGUGAAAAGAUUCUGCUUAGGCUGUUCAUUAUGGAUGUCCUGAAGUUCCAUGACUCGCUGUCUGGAAGCUGGAGAACCAGGAAAGCCAGUGCUACAAUUCAUUCUGAGUCCAAAGGGCUGAGGACCAUGGGAGCUCAAUAAUAAGAAACUGAAGUUCACAAAGGUGAAGUCAGCUUCUCAAGGUCAUACAGCUACUUAGCAGCAGAUGUGGAACUUGAACUCAAGCCUCCAGACUGGAGCCCCUAUAAUGUAAGACCCGAUUUGACCCAGCAUGCAUAUGUAUCCCAUGGAGAAACCAUUUCUAUCGGUAAGCAUG
Eptesicus fuscus (big brown bat) is the source of this 570-nucleotide long non-coding RNA. RefSeq lists it as uncharacterized. Lineage: Eukaryota; Metazoa; Chordata; Mammalia; Chiroptera; Vespertilionidae. The record is from RefSeq and is a predicted model, not a curated record. The transcript has 3 exons.